CAGCAGCCGCGGGAAUACGAAGGGGGCUAGCGUUGUUCGGAUUUACUGGGCGUAAAGGGCGCGUAGGCGGACUGAUAAGUCAGGGGUGAAAUCCCAAGGCUCAACCUUGGAACUGCCUUUGAUACUGUUUGUCUUGAGUUCGAGAGAGGUAAGUGGAACUGCGAGUGUAGAGGUGAAAUUCGUAGAUAUUCGCAAGAACACCAGUGGCGAAGGCGGCUUACUGGCUCGAAACUGACGCUGAGGCGCGAAAGCGUGGGGAGCAAACAGGAUUAGAUACCCCCGUAGUCCCUGUCUCUUAUAC
RNAcentral lists this ribosomal RNA (301 nucleotides) under uncultured bacterium. RNAcentral's name for it is "partial 16S ribosomal RNA". It matches the Rfam family "Bacterial small subunit ribosomal RNA", at positions 509 to 807 of the family's 1533-position model. The record is from RNAcentral.